This 308-nucleotide ribosomal RNA is filed under the name uncultured Planctomycetota bacterium. RNAcentral's name for it is "bacterial SSU rRNA". It matches the Rfam family "Bacterial small subunit ribosomal RNA", at positions 29 to 351 of the family's 1533-position model. Lineage: Bacteria; Pseudomonadati; Planctomycetota. The record is from RNAcentral.
AAUGAACGUUGGCGGCGUGGAUUAGGCAUGCAAGUCGAGCGGUAAGGCCCAGCAAUGGGUACACGAGCGGCGUAAGGGACAGUAAUGUGUAGGUACGUACCUCCGGGCCUGGGAUAGCUGCGGGAAACUGCAAUUAAUACCAGAUAAUGUCUCCGGACCAAAGGUGUGAUUCCGCCGGGAGAGCGGCCUACAUCCUAUUAGCUAGUUGGCGGGUAACGGCCCACCAAGGCUUAGAUGGGGUAGCAGGUGUGAGAGCACGACCUGCGUCACUGGGACUGAGACACUGCCCAGACACCUACGGGUGGCAG